This 253-nucleotide ribosomal RNA is filed under the name uncultured bacterium. Its description in RNAcentral is "partial 16S ribosomal RNA". It matches the Rfam family "Bacterial small subunit ribosomal RNA", at positions 524 to 776 of the family's 1533-position model. The record is from RNAcentral.
UACGUAGGGGGCAAGCGUUGUCCGGAAUUAUUGGGCGUAAAGAGCGUGUAGGCGGUCCGGUAAGUCAGCUGUGAAAGUCAAGGGCACAACCCUUGAAUGCCGGUUGAUACUGUCGGGCUAGAGUCCGGAAGAGGCGAGUGGAAUUCCCGGUGUAGCGGUGAAAUGCGCAGAUAUCGGGAGGAACACCAAUGGCGAAGGCAGCUCGCUGGGACGGUACUGACGCUGAGACGCGAAAGCGUGGGGAGCAAACAGG